UCUGGCGGCAAUAGCGCGGUGGUCCCACCUGACCCCAUGCCGAACUCAGAAGUGAAACGCCGUAGCGCCGAUGGUAGUGUGGGGUCUCCCCAUGCGAGAGUAGGGAACUGCCAGAC
This 116-nucleotide ribosomal RNA is filed under the name Escherichia coli. Lineage: Bacteria; Pseudomonadati; Pseudomonadota; Gammaproteobacteria; Enterobacterales; Enterobacteriaceae. The record is from RNAcentral. RNAcentral also lists the same sequence under 1 other name.